CCCUUAGAGUUUGAUCCUGGCUCAGAUUGAACGCUGGCGGCAGGCCUAACACAUGCAAGUCGAGCGGUAACAGAUUGAUAGCUUGCUAUCGAUGCUGACGAGCGGCGGACGGGUGAGUAAUGCCUGGGAAUAUGCCCUGAUGUGGGGGAUAACUAUUGGAAACGAUAGCUAAUACCGCAUAAUCUCUUUGGAGCAAAGAGGGGGACCUUCGGGCCUCUCGCGUCAGGAUUAGCCCAGGUGGGAUUAGCUUGUUGGUGGGGUAAUGGCUCACCAAGGCAACGAUCCCUAGCUGGUCUGAGAGGAUGAUCAGCCACACUGGAACUGAGACACGGUCCAGACUCCUACGGGAGGCAGCAGUGGGGAAUAUUGCACAAUGGGGGAAACCCUGAUGCAGCCAUGCCGCGUGUAUGAAGAAGGCCUUCGGGUUGUAAAGUACUUUCAGUUGUGAGGAAGGCAGUAAAGUUAAUAGCUUUGCUGUUUGACGUUAGCAACAGAAGAAGCACCGGCUAACUCCGUGCCAGCAGCCGCGGUAAUACGGAGGGUGCGAGCGUUAAUCGGAAUUACUGGGCGUAAAGCGCAUGCAGGUGGUCUGUUAAGCAAGAUGUGAAAGCCCGGGGCUCAACCUCGGAACAGCAUUUUGAACUGGCAAACUAGAGUACUGUAGAGGGGGGUAGAAUUUCAGGUGUAGCGCUGAAAAUGC
This 700-nucleotide ribosomal RNA is filed under the name Photobacterium angustum. RNAcentral's name for it is "bacterial SSU rRNA". It matches the Rfam family "Bacterial small subunit ribosomal RNA", at positions 1 to 689 of the family's 1533-position model. RNAcentral also lists the same sequence under 1 other name. The record is from RNAcentral. Lineage: Bacteria; Pseudomonadati; Pseudomonadota; Gammaproteobacteria; Vibrionales; Vibrionaceae.